CAUCUCAUUUUAAUGUUUUAGUUAGCUAUUCAUUGAUCAUUGUCUACGAAGCAAAUGUGAGCACCAGACUAUGAUGCUAGCUAUGCAAAAAGCAGUAUGAAAGACCAGACGAGCGUAAAAGCAGUAGAAAUCGUUGGUUAAUAUGAUAAGGUAAGUUAGUAAUUUGCUACACUGAAGAAAGUAAAAAACCCCAUUUAGGAUUUAGCUAGAUGAUUGAUUGACUGAAAUUGACCAAAAAUUGAGGUUUAUUUCUUCAUAAUAUUUCUCCUAAUUUCAACCUUGGAUUGUUCUGACUUGAUUGUGUUUCUGUAUGUCAGUUCUUUCAGUAGGAAGUGUUGACUGUUAAUAUUAGGAGAACAAGUAGUUACACGUUUCAUAGAUAGGAAUAUGAUCAAGAAGAGGCUUGGAAAGUAUUAGUCAUCAGUUUAAUUCUUUUAGGAGGUUUUUCUUUACCAUCGACUGUGUCUUUUAAGUUUUUAUGCAACUGAUGCAUAAUCUAGUCGUAGCUUGCUGUAUUCCUUUUAAAUACUUAGUCUUAGAUUUGCAUAACUUUUGGCUCUUUCUUUACCAAGUAAUUUUUAGCUCUUCUUUUAGCUAGCAACUCUUUUACCUUAAUCUUGUUAUUUUAUUUUUAUUAUACUAGUAUUCUUACUUGUAUUACACAUGUAUGUGACUUCAGAGGGUAAUCUGGUGGUGAUUAGUAUUUGACAGUUGAACUGCACUUGGAAUUUGGCUAUAUGGGAAAGACAAUUCAGG
RNAcentral lists this long non-coding RNA (756 nucleotides) under Nicotiana tabacum (common tobacco). RNAcentral describes it as "long non-coding RNA (NTAB_LNC012624)". The record is from RNAcentral. Lineage: Eukaryota; Viridiplantae; Streptophyta; Magnoliopsida; Solanales; Solanaceae.